RNAcentral lists this ribosomal RNA (501 nucleotides) under uncultured bacterium. RNAcentral describes it as "partial 16S ribosomal RNA". It matches the Rfam family "Bacterial small subunit ribosomal RNA", at positions 29 to 523 of the family's 1533-position model. The record is from RNAcentral.
AUUGAACGCUGGCGGCAUGCCUUACACAUGCAAGUCGAACGGCAGCACGGGUGCUUGCACCUGGUGGCGAGUGGCGAACGGGUGAGUAAUACAUCGGAACGUACCUUAUCGUGGGGGAUAACGCAGCGAAAGCUGUGCUAAUACCGCAUACGCCCUGAGGGGGAAAGCGGGGGAUCGAAAGACCUCGCGCGAUUAGAGCGGCCGAUGCCUGAUUAGCUUGUUGGUGGGGUAAAAGCCCACCAAGGCGACGAUCAGUAGCUGGUCUGAGAGGACGAUCAGCCACACUGGGACUGCGACACGGCCCAGACUCCUACGGGAGGCAGCAGUGGGGAAUUUUGGACAAUGGGGGCAACCCUGAUCCAGCAAUGCCGCGUGAGUGAAGAAGGCCUUCGGGUUGUAAAGCUCUUUUGUCAGGGAAGAAACACCGGCUCUAACACAGUCCGGGAAUGACGGUACCUGAAGAAUAAGCACCGGCUGACUACGUGCCAGCCGCCGCCGUAA